RNAcentral lists this ribosomal RNA (669 nucleotides) under uncultured bacterium. Its description in RNAcentral is "bacterial SSU rRNA". It matches the Rfam family "Bacterial small subunit ribosomal RNA", at positions 88 to 790 of the family's 1533-position model. The record is from RNAcentral.
GAGGGUAGCGGCACACGGGUGAGUAACGCGUGGUCAAUCUACCCUUUUCUGUGGAAUAUUCGCACGGAAACUUGUGCUAAUACCCAAUGUGUCCUUCGGGAGAAAGAUUUAUCGGGAAAGGAUGAGCCCGCGUUGGAUUAGCUAGUUGGUGGGGUAAAGGCCUACCAAGGCGACGAUCCAUAGCUGGUCUGAGAGGAUGAUCAGCCACAUUGGGACUGAGACACGGCCCAAACUCCUACGGGAGGCAGCAGUGGGGAAUAUUGGACAAUGGGCGCAAGCCUGAUCCAGCCAUGCCGCGUGAGUGAUGAAGGCCCUAGGGUUGUAAAGCUCUUUCACCGGAGAAGAUAAUGACGGUAUCCGGAGAAGAAGCCCCGGCUAACUUCGUGCCAGCAGCCGCGGUAAUACGAAGGGGGCUAGCGUUGUUCGGAAUUACUGGGCGUAAAGCGCACGUAGGCGGAUCGAUCAGUCAGGGGUGAAAUCCCAGGGCUCAACCCUGGAACUGCCUUUGAUACUGUCGAUCUGGAGUAUGGAAGAGGUGAGUGGAAUUCCGAGUGUAGAGGUGAAAUUCGUAGAUAUUCGGAGGAACACCAGUGGCGAAGGCGGCUCACUGGUCCAUUACUGACGCUGAGGUGCGAAAGCGUGGGGAGCAAACAGGAUUAGAUACCCUAA